CUAACCAGGAUUCCCCUAGUAACGGCGAGUGAAGAGGGAAAAGCCCAGCACCGAAGCCUGCGGCAGUUUUGCUGUUAGGCAAUGUGGUGUUUAGGCCGGCUCGCGGGAUUGCCACUCCACUCGAAGUCCAGCAUUGAGUAUGGUCACUGGAAUUGGCCCAGAGAGGGUGAAAGGCCCGUACGGGUGGAGUUUCAGACAAGUCAGGCAAUUCACCAGGUCGACCUUCGAGUCGGGUUGUUUGAGAAUGCAGCCCAAAGUGGGUGGUAAACUCCAUCCAAGGCUAAAUACUAGCACGAGUCCGAUAGCGAACAAGUACCGUGAGGGAAAGUUGAAAAGUACUUUGAAGAGAGAGUAAACAGUACGUGAAGCCGCAUGCAGGUAAACGGGUGGCGCCAAGCUGCGGGCUUGGAGAAUUCAGUUGGCUAGGUUGCAUGAUGCGCCUGACGCGUCUAUCGGUCGGAAUAAGCAGUGAUAGUCCACUGGUAAACGGUGGGCCCGGUCGCAAGACUGGGAUAUGUGUACCGAGCGGAAGCCGGAGCAUGCUAUCUAUCUGUUGGACCGCCUAGUCAGUGCACUUUCUCUAUGGCCAACACCACGACCGGUAGUAUUGCCAGUCUGCUGUAGCCAAGUCGUAUCUGAUGGGUCCUUGUGGCUAAUUGGGUGCGAUCACAGGCAAAUCCAGUGAACGGCGUAGAGUGGCUCUUCGGGGACGCUUUGCGUGUUAUCGGUAACUGGUUGUGAUCGGGUCGCUUGAUGGCGCGGUAACCGUUGUCAGGUGGCCUGGUGGGCUAUGGUGGUAAGAAUAACUGUGCAAGGUACCGGGGUUAGCGACCUCAAUUGCUAUCUGCACGCACGUUGCCUAGUGUAAUGUGGGGAUGGCGUAACCGUGGUCUGCCUGUUGUUGAGUCUGAUUGUCGUGUCGCCCGCAAAAAGUGGGCCCGGCAGUGGCUUGAUGCGGGAUGGGCUGUGGGCGUUGUCUCUGGUGUGGACUGUAGUGGGUCUGAUAGUCAGUGGUGCGGCGGUAGGCUAGCUUCCCGACCCGUCUUGAAACACGGACCAAGGAGUUUAACAUGUAUGCGAGUCAAAGGGUCCUACGAAACCCCAAGGCGCAGUGAAAGUGAAGCUUCGACUUGUCUCGGAGUGUGGUGAGAUCCUGCUGUUACUCGCAUCAGCCUUGGUGUCAGCAUCAGGCUUAAGAGCGGUAGGCGCAUCACCGGCCCGUCUCAUGAUGUGGUCAUUGGAUGUAUGCAGUUGCUGCGCAA
This 1262-nucleotide ribosomal RNA is filed under the name Anthobothrium sp. 1A KJ-2010. RNAcentral describes it as "eukaryotic LSU rRNA". It matches the Rfam family "Eukaryotic large subunit ribosomal RNA", at positions 65 to 797 of the family's 3401-position model. RNAcentral also lists the same sequence under 1 other name. The record is from RNAcentral. Lineage: Eukaryota; Metazoa; Platyhelminthes; Cestoda; Tetraphyllidea.